UAAGAUGUGGGAUAUAUUGCCUUGACUUCUUGUGACCUGCUUAUUUGUUCCCAUGGCGGCUGGGGAGACAUGUGAGACAGUCAGCCCCGGUUUUAUCAUAAAGCAGCUCAUUUGCGUUUCCAUGAGAAGGCCAUUCCCUCUGUAAAUAUGGGACUUGGAAGCAGACGCAAUUCGAACCUGCAGUUUAAUGCCAUAUUGCAUAUGAGCAGAGUUGCCUUUCUCAGGGAUAGCCUGGGGCAUUUGGGCACUUGAGGCAAAAUGCCUUGCUACCACCCCUACAAUGGGGGAGGCAAAUGUGGGAAUGUUCGGGGAGGCAGGAGAGGAUAUAUUGUUUAUUAAUAUUCUUCCUAACUUACGCUAGCAAGUUCUAUAACUUAGCAGAGUUUUAACACUCCCCUUUAAAUGCACAGCAGGUAGCUGGUUGCAAGCUUGAUUAAGCUUCUCAAUAUAGAUUCCUGGUAAGAUCCCUUUAUUUCCCUCUUAAAAGCUUAAACACACCACAAUCUUAUUUAAGAUAUAUAAAAGUAGUUUACUCACAUCAUCAGUUCACAGUUGGAUCCCUGAAGGCAAACUUAGUUACAGAUAUAUAUACACGUGAGUCUAUCCUAUAUGGAGAUAGUCCCUUUGUCUUCUGUAGGCUGAUCAUCUCUAGCUAAAAAAGCUGCUGGUCCAUCAAAGAGAGGAAGUCAAAAAGAGAAAGAUGGCUGCAUGCCUUGUGCUUUGGUUACCUGCACAGGUAAGGUCACACCCACCUCUAGUCACAUGCAAGAGGAAGUAUGUCUCAGCCCAGGAGGAAACAGGAGGUUUUCGACUGGCUGGCCCAAACAUCCCCUUGCAUGUCCACUCUAGGAAAACAAGGAAUGUUGUACUUGACUUUUACUUAUGUAUCACAUCCCACAGCAAAUUCCGUAAGGAAACCCUUUCAGAGUCUUCUCCACUGGGACGGUGGGCAGGGUGAGAUGCUUUCUGCAUCCCUGCUUCUACCUGGUGGUGGGGCUUUGCACCAGCUUCUCCCUUCCUUUGCACAUCUCCUCCACCCCUGCUCAGUGAUGGGGUUUCUCCUGAAGGGAGAAUCUGGUACAAAGCCCCACCACACUGCUGGGAGGGGUGGAGAGAUGACCACCUCCCCUCUAGUUGACUUGGUGUUCUGCAGAGGUUUGUUGCUGUUCCCUUUCUGCCCUUAGAGACUAUGGAGACCCGUGGCAAAGCUGGACAGUGGAAUGGGUGUGUAGCCCUUUGCGGGGGUGCCACCUGCGGCAGGUGCCUCCUCCUGCCUCAUGGGUGAGCCGGCACUUAAUACUGAUUUAAGAAUAAAGGAGGCAAACAAACAGAGCCUGGCUUUUCACGUAGUUAUGUCUUGCAUGCUGUUUCUCAGUGUUCAGAAUAAAAUAUUGCACUAUGCUGGCAGCAGUAUGAUGUAGAGAUGGCUAAUGAUGGAUGUGUUGCUUCAUUGAAAAACAUUUAUUAAUACUCAAUAUUAAUUUUGUUUUAAAUAGGAAAGUAUUUUCCAGCCAAACCCUGUGGUUAUAUGCUGACAUAUGAUAUAGUAAUAACAGGCAAAACUUUUGUAGUAAUACAUUUUGGCAACUGAUGUGAAAAUAAAAGAUCCCUUUUUGUUUUCCAAAGGCAACAGCAAAAGCAAGACAUGAUACAAUCUUGUUAUGGGUCCAAGUGCAACAGCAAGGUUCCUUCAGCUAGUUCUACUGCGGUUCUUUAACAGGAGCAGUGUGUUUCUAGUUAAAGCGGAUGAUAUAGCUGUGCUUAGCUCUUUCUGAUCUGAUGGUUGAGAUUCUUCAUUUGUUAAGAUAUGAAUUUCAGUACAUAACUCCUUUUCCCUCCCUUACUAAUUCGCUCAACAACAAGGAAUGCUGUGGCAUCAUUUAUCAAAAGUUGGGAGACCUAACUUCCAGUGGCAGUGGCUGAACCUUUAUUUGCAUUGGAAAGUCUACUUAAGUAUAAAAGCAUACUCCAAAAUGAUCAGGAAUCCCUUUGAUUCCAUAAAUCUCCGGGGGUGUUCCAUCCUAAAGGGGGAGACUGGUGCUGCUAGACCAAACUUCACCAGAUAAUGGCCUGAUCAUGACAUCAGGGCUAAUUCACACCCCCUCUUAAUAUCCGUACCAGCCUCCUCACACCAAAUCAAGGGGCCUAGAUGGAAGUACAGUAGUACCUUGGUUUAAGAACAGCUUAGUUUAUGAACAACUUGGAUUAAGAAUGCUGCAAACCUGGAAGUAGGUGUUUUGGUUUGUGAACUUUGCCUUGAAUCAGAAUAUGUUUUGCUUCCUGUUGAGUGUGUUCCAUUUGUCAAUUGAGUCCCCCACUGCUAUGGGAAAGCACGCCUUGGUUUAAGAACGCUUUGGUUUAAGAACGGACUUCUGGAAUGGAUUAAGUUCGUAAAUCAAGGUACCACUGUAAUAUAAAGGAAGAGUUGAGCUUUUUGUUAGGAGGUAUGGAAUAAUUAAGAGCUAGAGUUGAGAGUUGGCAUAAUUUAGUAACCAAGAAUGUGAAUUGGGAUUACCCUGGUUUCAAUCUCAGCCCUUGUCUGCAGUAAUGACCUGCUUGAUAGUAAUACUUACAUGAUGUGGUUGUAAGAUUACUUAGAAACCUUAUGUGAAGCACUUGGCAUAAGUUUCUACAGUUUCAGAAUAAUUGGAAGCAACAGUAUUGCCUAAGCCUGGAGACUGGUUUUCUUCUACAGUAUUUUAUCUGGUGAAAAGAAAUUGAUUUUUUAAAAGUUUUCCAUUGGUUCAGUAAUAUGGGAAAAGACUCCCUCCGUCAACUUGAAAGUAAAUGGGUAGGCUUCUGUUGUGUGUAUCUGCGCAUAGCACACUAAUGGCAGAAAGAAAUUGCUUCCACUUGCUUUCCAGAACAGAGCUGUGUUAAGUACAGUAUAUGUAUACAUCUGUUGAAUGCAGUUUCUUACAAAGUCCAGUACUGUAUGUGGAAAGUCUCUUGUGUUUCAUUCCUUUCCCAGCCUGUGACCUUUUCCAUACAAGGCCUCUGCCCUGCCACUGAAAUCCACAAUAUCUGCAGCAUCUUUGGAAACAGGAUUUAAUAUUUGUUCAGAUACAGGAAAUUGCCUGAGUCCUUAUCUUAAUUAUUAAAACAUUUGCCGGUAGGGGGAUACAGUAUUUCAGACCUUUGAUUCCAAAUAUGAGAAGGAAACAUUCAGCCCGAUAACAUCAAGGUAAGACCGUUUAUUCAGCAGAAAUACACUUGUGCUUUUGUCAGGCGCUAAUUGGGGCGCUAACUGAAAAGUACAGUUGUGUAAAGUCUCCUGUAAAAAAAGGAAAAGGGGAAAAAAAAACCUUCUGUGGAAUGCAGUUGCUCACAAAGUCCAAUAUACUGAAAGACUGCUGUGCUAUGCAUUUCAAAAGGAUGAAAGUCGCUGCAAGAGAGCUGGAACUGGGCUGCUGAACCACAAAGGGCAACAUUCUUGUCGCCGUUCGUCCUCAGAAGUUUCUACACCGUUGCAAAUUGCCAGAACCCCCCUAAAGGAUAUGCUGAACUGCUCCCCCAGUUUAUUUUGUUCUGUGAGCUAUACAGAUGUAACUCUUAAGUGGGGAACCUACGGCCUAGAUGCCAGAUUUUUAAAAAAACCUCAUUCUGGAAAUGAAGGCAGAAAGAAAGCCUACUUUCUUAUAUGAAAAUGUAUAUUUCCCCUUAAAUAAUAAUAUCCCCUAAUUUCCCUUAUCAGUUAAUUAAUACUUAUAAGCCACCUUUCAUCAAUACAGGGGAUGCAGGUGGCGCUGUGGGUUAAACCACAGAGCCUAGGACUUGCCGAUCAGAAGGUCAGUGGUUCGAAUCCCCGCGACAGGAUGAGCUCCCAUUGUUUGGUCCCAGCUCCUGCCAACCUAGCAGUUUGAAAGCACGUCAAUGUGCAAGUAGAUAAAUAGGUACCGCUUGGGCGGGAAGGUAAACGGCGUUUCUGUGCGCUGCUCUGGUUCGCCAGAAGCGGCUUAGUCACACUGGCCACAUGACCCGGAAGCUGUAUGCCGGCUCCCUCGGCCAGUAAAGCGAGAUGAGCGCCGCAACCCCAGAGUCGGCCAUGACUGGACCUAAUGGUCAGGGGUCCCUUUACCUUUACCUUCAUCAAUACAGAUAGCAUAGCAGAAAAUGGAACGCAAAAUAAAAACAAGCCAGUCAAAUAAUAAUGCAAGUAACACAUCUCCUAGUCAGCUUUGCAAUUCAUUUGCAGGAUAACAGAAUAAAGCGAGGACUGAAUUAGGUCACGAUAGAAACAUGGUGCAGCUGCUUGUGAAAAAAAGGAGCACUCUCAUAUUAAAAUAUCUUAUAUUAAAAAAAAACCCUUUGGAGUAACUUUAAACGGAAAAUAAAUUAUUUAUAAAUUAUUUAUUUACAUUUCGCCUAAAAGUCUCCCAGGGAAGAGAUUCCACAGCUUUUCUGGGAAGCAUUUCAAUGGCCAACCAUUCUGACUGUUUGACGAUCAGGAAACAUGUACUAUCUAAAUCUGCUUUCCUAGUACUUGAACCUGUCAUGUCUUGUCCUUCCCCCAGUGACUGUAGUAAACAGCACUCCCUGACCUGUGGUUCUUUCCCAGAUAAUUUAUAAUUUAAGAAACUGGUACAGUUGGUGUGUGUGUGUGUGUCAUGUGGUGGGGGGGAGAGGAUUAACCCCCCAAAAAUUGAUGUAUUGUGUACACUAUUCUGUAUGACAGAUGGGCUACCCUGUUGAAUUCCAACUGCUGAGCUUGCAAAUAAAUUGGCAAAAUUAUAUCCGUUGUUCAUUGCCAGUAACAUCCAUUGUGCAUGCGAUACCGUAGAAGCACAUAUAGUAUCAUCUUCAAUCUACAAAGUUCACAGACCUGAUAUAUUUUAAAGGUCACUAGCAUGCAAAGAUAGAAUCAUUAGUUUAUAGGCCACUAAGACACUAUCUUGGCAGAAGUAAAGUCAGAAAUAUUGCAGCUCUAUAUUAUUCUAAAACACAAGAACAUCUUCUCUUUCUUGAUUUCCUAGAACAUUCUC
RNAcentral lists this long non-coding RNA (4982 nucleotides) under Podarcis lilfordi (Lilford's wall lizard). Lineage: Eukaryota; Metazoa; Chordata; Lepidosauria; Squamata; Lacertidae. The record is from RNAcentral.